GCGGCGUUAGCUCAGCAGAUUAGAGCGAAGGCCUCCGAAGCCUUAGGUCGGGAGUGCAACUCUCUCACGUCGCGCCA
RNAcentral lists this transfer RNA (77 nucleotides) under Terriglobia bacterium. RNAcentral's name for it is "tRNA-Arg". It matches the Rfam family "tRNA". Rfam says of the family: Transfer RNA (tRNA) molecules are approximately 80 nucleotides in length. Their secondary structure includes four short double-helical elements and three loops (D, anti-codon, and T loops). Lineage: Bacteria; Pseudomonadati; Acidobacteriota; Terriglobia. The record is from RNAcentral.